GAUUUUUGAUAAUUCAUUUCUGCGUAAGGUUGAGAACAAUGAGGCCACACCAUGUCCUCUAUAUGAUGCAUCACGGAACGAAGAAAGCAAGAAAUUGCAGCAGAACGAACAAUCACAAGCAUCUAACUCACGCAUAAGGAGACUGGCUAAUGAUAGAGAGAUGAUGGAUUUAUCCACUCGCCUAAUUUACUGUGCACAAGCCGUGGGAAGCGGUGAUCAAAGGACUGCAUAUGAGCAACUAAAGCAGAUAAGGCUACAUGCUUCUCCAUUCGGAAAUGGAAACCAAAGAAUGGCUCAUUAUUUCGCUAAUGCGCUUGAAGCACGUCUAGCAGGCACUGAAAAUUUGGUUCAAAACGUGAUUGCAGGACCUUCAACGACUGUUGCUGAUAUCCUGAAAGCAUACCAACUUUAUGUUUCAAUAUGCCCUUUCAGGAAGAUGACAAAUUUUUUCACUAACAGAACAAUUGCCAAAGUAGUAGACAAGGCAAACAGGC
RNAcentral lists this unclassified non-coding RNA (494 nucleotides) under Hevea brasiliensis (rubber tree). The record is from RNAcentral. Lineage: Eukaryota; Viridiplantae; Streptophyta; Magnoliopsida; Malpighiales; Euphorbiaceae.